AAGAUCGAGUAAUGUGUGUAGAGUACACGAGCGGCGGACGGCUGAGUAACGCGUAGGAACGUACCCCAAAGUGAGGGAUAAGCACCGGAAACGGUGUCUAAUACCGCAUGUGGUCUUCGGAUUAAAGCUUCGGCGCUUUGGGAGCGGCCUGCGUAUGAUUAGUUUGUUGGUGAGGUAAUGGCUCACCAAGGCUUCGAUCAUUAGCUGGUCUGAGAGGAUGAUCAGCCAGACUGGACUGAGAACGGCCCAGACUCCUACGGGAGGCAGCAGUAGGGAAUUUCCACAAUGGACGAAAGUCUGAUGGAGCAACGCCGCGUGCAGGAUGAAGGCUUUCGGGUCGUAAACUGCUUUUAUAUGUGACGAUUUUGACGGUAGCAUAUGAAUAAGGAUCGGCUAACUCCGUG
Molecule: ribosomal RNA, 404 nt
Filed under: uncultured bacterium
Lineage: Bacteria
Description: bacterial SSU rRNA
Rfam family: Bacterial small subunit ribosomal RNA
Source: RNAcentral